GGGCUGGUAGCUCAGUUGGUUAGAGCACCACCAUAUAUAGGCAGAGGUCCUGGGUUCAACCCCCGGCUGGUCUA
This is a transfer RNA of Serpula lacrymans var. lacrymans S7.3, 74 nucleotides long. It matches the Rfam family "tRNA". Rfam says of the family: Transfer RNA (tRNA) molecules are approximately 80 nucleotides in length. Their secondary structure includes four short double-helical elements and three loops (D, anti-codon, and T loops). The record is from Rfam. Lineage: Eukaryota; Fungi; Basidiomycota; Agaricomycetes; Boletales; Serpulaceae.